RNAcentral lists this non-coding RNA (27 nucleotides) under Mus musculus (house mouse). Lineage: Eukaryota; Metazoa; Chordata; Mammalia; Rodentia; Muridae. The record is from RNAcentral.
UGAUAGGAGCAAGAAAACAAUGGAUUC